RNAcentral lists this ribosomal RNA (183 nucleotides) under uncultured Planococcus sp. Its description in RNAcentral is "partial 16S ribosomal DNA". It matches the Rfam family "Bacterial small subunit ribosomal RNA", at positions 354 to 530 of the family's 1533-position model. The record is from RNAcentral. Lineage: Bacteria; Bacillati; Bacillota; Bacilli; Caryophanales; Caryophanaceae.
GGGAAGAAUCUUCCGCAAUGGACGAAAGUCUGACGGAGCAACGCCGCGUGAGUGAAGAAGGUUUUCGGAUCGUAAAACUCUGUUGUGAGGGAAGAACAAGUACCAAGUAACUACUGGUACCUUGACGGUACCUCACCAGAAAGCCACGGCUAACUACGUGCCAGCAGCCGCGGUAAUUAAAAA